GAAGACAUGAGACCUUUGGAAAGGUCUCAUGGACCUUU
This 38-nucleotide microRNA is filed under the name Pongo abelii (Sumatran orangutan). The record is from RNAcentral. Lineage: Eukaryota; Metazoa; Chordata; Mammalia; Primates; Hominidae.